UGGGGAAUAUUGCACAAUGGGCGCAAGCCUGAUGCAGCCAUGCCGCGUGUAUGAAGAAGGCCUUCGGGUUGUAAAGUACUUUCAGCGGGGAGGAAGGCGAUAAGGUUAAUAACCUUGUCGAUUGACGUUACCCGCAGAAGAAGCACCGGCUAACUCCGUGCCAGCAGCCGCGGUAAUACGGAGGGUGCAAGCGUGAAUCGGAAUUACUGGGCGUAAAGCGCACGCAGGCUGUCUGUCAAUUCGGAUGUGAAAUCCCCGGGCUCAACCUGGGAACUGCAUUCGAAACUGGCAGGCUAGAGUCUUGUAGAGGGGGGUAGAAUUCCAGGUGUAGCGGUGAAAUGCGUAGAGAUCUGGAGGAAUACCGGUGGCGAAGGCGGCCCCCUGGACAAAGACUGACGCUCAGGUGCGAAAGCGUGGGGAGCAAACA
RNAcentral lists this ribosomal RNA (427 nucleotides) under uncultured bacterium. RNAcentral describes it as "partial 16S ribosomal RNA". It matches the Rfam family "Bacterial small subunit ribosomal RNA", at positions 355 to 774 of the family's 1533-position model. The record is from RNAcentral.